GACGAACGCUGGCGGCGUGCUUAACACAUGCCAGUCGAACGGAAAGGCCCUGCUUUUGUGGGGUGCUCGAGUGGCGAACGGGUGAGUAACACGUGAGUAACCUGCCCUUGACUUUGGGAUAACUUCAGGAAACUGGGGCUAAUACCGGAUAGGAGCUCCUGCUGCAUGGUGGGGGUUGGAAAGUUUCGGCGGUUGGGGAUGGACUCGCGGCUUAUCAGCUUGUUGGUGGGGUAGUGGCUUACCAAGGCUUUGACGGGUAGCCGGCCUGAGAGGGUGACCGGCGACAAUGGGACUGAGGUACGGCCCAGACGCCUACGGGAGGCAGCAGUGGGGAAUAUUGCACAAUGGGCGGAAGCCUGAUGCAGCAACGCCGGGUGCGGGAUGACGGCCUUCGGGUUGUAAACCGCUUUCGCCGGUGACGAAGAGUGAGUGACGGUAAUGGGUAAAGAAGCACCGGCUAACUACGUG
RNAcentral lists this ribosomal RNA (468 nucleotides) under uncultured bacterium. Its description in RNAcentral is "partial 16S ribosomal RNA". It matches the Rfam family "Bacterial small subunit ribosomal RNA", at positions 28 to 507 of the family's 1533-position model. The record is from RNAcentral.